UACGGAGGGUGCAAGCGUUAUCCGGAUUCACUGGGUUUAAAGGGUGCGUAGGUGGGCAGGUAAGUCAGUGGUGAAAUCUCCGGGCUUAACCCGGAAACUGCCAUUGAUACUAUUAGUCUUGAAUGUCGUGGAGGUAAGCGGAAUAUGUCAUGUAGCGGUGAAAUGCUUAGAUAUGACUUAGAACACCGAUAGCGUAGGCAGCUUGCUACACGAAUAUUGACACUGAGGCACGAAAGCGUGGGGAUCAAACAGG
RNAcentral lists this ribosomal RNA (253 nucleotides) under uncultured bacterium. RNAcentral describes it as "partial 16S ribosomal RNA". It matches the Rfam family "Bacterial small subunit ribosomal RNA", at positions 524 to 776 of the family's 1533-position model. The record is from RNAcentral.